This 524-nucleotide ribosomal RNA is filed under the name uncultured bacterium. Its description in RNAcentral is "bacterial SSU rRNA". It matches the Rfam family "Bacterial small subunit ribosomal RNA", at positions 29 to 518 of the family's 1533-position model. The record is from RNAcentral.
AUGAACGCUGGCGGCAUGCCUAAUACAUGCAAGUCGAACGAAGAAAUGUUGCUUGAAGGUGCUUGCACCGGAUAGUUGCUUUCUUAGUGGCGAACGGGUGAGUAACACGUAGGUAACCUGCCUAGUAGUUGGGAAUAACAAUGGGAAACCGUUGCUAAUACCGAAUAUGAAUUCGAAGGGCAUCCUUUGAAUUUGAAAGGGGCUUUCAAGCCUCGCUAUUAGAUGGACCUGCGGCGCAUUAGCUAGUUGGUGAGAUAACAGCUCACCAAGGCGAGGAUGCGUAGCCGACCUGAGAGGGUGAUCGGCCACAAUGGGACUGAGACACGGCCCAUACUCCUACGGGAGGCAGCAGUAGGGAGUUUUCGGCAAUGGGGGAACCCUGACCGAGCAAUGCCGCGUGAGUUAAUGAAGGUCUUAUGGAUCGUAAGGCUCUGUUGUAGGGGAUGAAACGUCUAGGGAGGAAAUGUCCUAGACUUGACAGUACCUUACCAGAAAGCCACGGCUAACCACGUGCCAGCCGCUGC